UCUAGUAGAACAUUGUAACCCGUUAGAUAUUAAUUUACGGCCUUAUUGGGUAGCCUUUGAUCGUUAAAACAUUAAAGACCAAUUUGUGUUUCCUAAUUAAUUGUCUGACGGUAUUCAUAUGAUAUUAAGUCGCAUAUAUUAUUUGCGUUUUCAUCCGUCGCAAGCGAGGCUAUUUAAUUAAUUGUUACGGACCUAGUGCCGUCUAUUAAUAAUAGCCAGCUGUUGGCUGUUACGGUAUUCUGAAACUGACUUUAUAUAUCGGUUAACAAUGCUACUGCUUUGGGUACUUUCAGGACCCGUCUUGAAACACGGACCAAGGAGUCUAACAUGUGCGCAAGUCAUUGGGAUUUUUUUAAAUUUUAAAAUUAAACCUAAAGGCGUAAUGAAAGUAAAGAUCGUCUUUAUGUCGAUUAAGGGAAGAUGAUUUAUAUUACGAUAUUUAUCCGCAUUCCCGGGGCGUCUCAUUUUUAUUUUAUA
Molecule: ribosomal RNA, 477 nt
Filed under: Falciconus pseudoplatani
Lineage: Eukaryota; Metazoa; Arthropoda; Insecta; Hymenoptera; Braconidae
Description: partial 28S ribosomal RNA
Rfam family: Eukaryotic large subunit ribosomal RNA
Source: RNAcentral